This 451-nucleotide ribosomal RNA is filed under the name Lachancea thermotolerans. Its description in RNAcentral is "RNase P RNA". Lineage: Eukaryota; Fungi; Ascomycota; Saccharomycetes; Saccharomycetales; Saccharomycetaceae. The record is from RNAcentral.
UUAUAUAUAUAAUAUACAUAUUAUAUUUACAGGAAAGUCAUAAAUAUACAAAUUAAAAUAUAUCUAUAUUUUAUAAUAAAGUAAUUAAUAUAAAUAAUAAAUAUAAUCUUAUUUCUCCCCUCUCUUACUUUGUUUGUGAGGAGUUGGUAAUAAGUAAGUAUAUAAUUAUACUUAAUUUUGUUAUUAACAUAUAACAAAAUAUAUAUGGAAAUUAAAAGCUUAAUAUAUAUAUAUCAUAAUAUUAAUAUUUCUUUAAUACCUCCCAUAUGUAUAAAGGGAAAAAUUAAACUAUUAAAGAGAUAAAUAUGAGUGAAAUAUAUAGUAAUAUAUCAUAAUUUAACCUAUCUUUUCCAUCCCAUGUAUUAUAAAAAUGUUUAUAAAAGGAAAGGUUAAAAAAUAUAAUUACUAUACAAAAAUAUGCUUAAAUAUAUAAUAUAUAUUAUAUAUAUAA